UUUCCGUAGGUGAACCUGCGGAAGGAUCAUUAUCGUACAAAAGGCUAGGGGCAUGCGAGGGCUGUCGCUUUCUCUAAAGGCGUGCACGCGCGAGUGUGACCUCUUGCAUAAUAAUCCAUCGCACCCUUUGUGCAUCACCGCGUGUGCGCCCUUCGGGAUCAUCUAGGAGGGGGUCUCGCGUUUUAAAACAAACCCCCUUUUACAAGUGUAGAAUGACCACAUUUAAGCAAUCAACACAACUUUCAACAACGGAUCUCUUGGCUAUGACAGCGGAUAAGA
RNAcentral lists this unclassified non-coding RNA (279 nucleotides) under plant metagenome. RNAcentral's name for it is "partial contains small subunit ribosomal RNA, internal transcribed spacer 1, and 5.8S ribosomal RNA". The record is from RNAcentral.